AUGCAGUCGAGGGGUAUAGUUCCUCGGAGCUAGAGACCGGCGCACGGGUGCGUAACGCGUAUGCAAUCUACCUUUCACAGAGGGAUAGCCCAGAGAAAUUUGGAUUAAUACCUCAUAGUAUUAUGAAAUGGCAUCAUUUUAUAAUUAAAGUCACAACGGUGAAAGAUGAGCAUGCGUCUCAUUAGCUAGUUGGUAAGGUAACGGCUUACCAAGGCUACGAUGGGUAGGGGUCCUGAGAGGGAGAUCCCCCACACUGGUACUGAGACACGGACCAGACUCCUACGGGAGGCAGCAGUGAGGAAUAUUGGUCAAUGGGCGCAAGCCUGAACCAGCCAUGCCGCGUGCAGGAUGACGGUCCUAUGGAUUGUAAACUGCUUUUGCACAGGAAGAAACAACAUUACGUGUAAUGUCUUGACGGUACUGUGAGAAUAAGGAUCGGCUAACUCCGUGCCAGCAGCCGCGGUAAUACGGAGGACCCAAGCGUUAUCCGGAAUCAUUGGGUUUAAAGGGUCCGUAGGCGGUUUAGUAAGUCAGUGGUGAAAGCCCAUCGCUCAACGGUGGAACGGCCAUUGAUACUGCUAGACUUGAAUUAUUAGGAAGUAACUAGAAUAUGUAGUGUAGCGGUGAAAUGCUUAGAGAUUACAUGGAAUACCAAUUGCGAAGGCAGGUUACUACUAAUGGAUUGACGCUGAUGGACG
RNAcentral lists this ribosomal RNA (698 nucleotides) under uncultured bacterium. RNAcentral's name for it is "bacterial SSU rRNA". It matches the Rfam family "Bacterial small subunit ribosomal RNA", at positions 55 to 755 of the family's 1533-position model. The record is from RNAcentral.